UGCCUGCAGGCUGGUCGUUCCAGGGGGUUCCUUUGAAAACUUCCUGCGGUGUCCAGGAGCGAGCAGCCUGCUGCACACAGGACGCAAUGCCUGCUGAAAUCCCAGAUGAAAUUCAUAAUCCACUUAGGAAAAAGGAGGGGGGAUGCACGGAGUUAGCACAUAUUAAGUGCCUGCUGUAGUCAAGCCCUGUUGGACACCAGGGACAUCUGGACCUUGACAACGGAGCGAAGGGGUGGUCCUGCCUGCACCAGGUUUCAUGGCUUCUCAGGCUUCUCUGCAGCAUGGGUGUUCCUGCCUUGGCCAGAGCCGAAAUCCCAGAGCAG
This 323-nucleotide long non-coding RNA is filed under the name Homo sapiens (human). RNAcentral's name for it is "non-protein coding lnc-ALG2-6:24". Lineage: Eukaryota; Metazoa; Chordata; Mammalia; Primates; Hominidae. The record is from RNAcentral.